GGUGAACGCUGGCGGUGCGCCUAAUACAUGCAAGUCGAACGAGAAACUGGAUUUAUUCAGUGGAAAGUGGCGGACGAGCGAGUAACACGUAAGUAGUUGCCCCGUACUCAGGGAUAACAUGGCGAAAGUCAUGCUAAUACCGGAUGGUCUCGUAAGAGUAAAGCUUUUGCGGUACGGGAGACGCUUGCGGCUUAUCAGUUUGUUGGUGGGGUAACGGCCUACCAAGACUAUGACGAGUAGCUGAUGUGAGAGCAUGAUCAGCCGCGAUGGGACUGAGACACGGCCCAUACUCCUACGGGAGGCAGCAGUAAGGAAUCUUCCGCAAUGGGCGAAAGCCUGACGGAGCGACACCGCGUGAAGGAUGAAGGCCCUAGGGUCGUAAACUUCUUUUCUGAGGGAAGAAAAUCUGACGGUACCUCAGGAAUAAGCCCCGGCUAAUUACG
This 443-nucleotide ribosomal RNA is filed under the name uncultured bacterium. RNAcentral describes it as "bacterial SSU rRNA". It matches the Rfam family "Bacterial small subunit ribosomal RNA", at positions 28 to 505 of the family's 1533-position model. The record is from RNAcentral.